RNAcentral lists this long non-coding RNA (2508 nucleotides) under Citrus maxima (pomelo). Its description in RNAcentral is "long non-coding RNA (CMAX_LNC003248)". The record is from RNAcentral. Lineage: Eukaryota; Viridiplantae; Streptophyta; Magnoliopsida; Sapindales; Rutaceae.
AAAAAAUCAUUAAGAGGCAAACUUACCAACCACAAAGAGAAAUAGAAGUAGUCAAGAUUCUAAACACUAACAAUUGAGUGAGUCUCAAAGCAGUAAUAGAAGAGAGACAUGAAAUUUUGUGUUCCCUAGGAAAGCAACUCUGCCUCGGCGAGUCGAAUUGAAAGGAUAGGUAGGCCGAUUGCUAUUUGCUAGUUGCAUUGAAAUUUGCCUGUUUUUGUGAGCUUUAUUGUUCUGGCUCCCCCCUCAGAUUACGAUGUCGCAUGGCAUGUUUUGUUGGACAGAGAUGCUGCCAGUGUCUCUUAAGCAAAUCUUUAAUAAUCAUGGUAUUAAGUUAGCAUAAUUAAAUUUCUGACUACUGUUUGUUUCUCUUGUUCUGUACAAGUUGCUAUUCAAUCACCUCGGCCCAAUAUAUGUAACUACUAACGUUGAUGAGAUUUCAAGCACGUGUCAUGUUUGCACAUAAGGAUUAGUUAAAUCAUAAUAUGCAUAUUCAUCAAUCAAUGAUAUUGUGUUUGGAUCAAAAGGAUUUCCAAACCAAACAAAAAAACAAAAGCAUUGGCCCACAUUAUGUGAAAUUUGUACAAAUAAUUUAAAAUAUAAAGUAAUAAAUAAUUUACUAUCACCAAGCCGACUCUAGAGCAUUUGAAGUCUUUGUCCAAUUUUUUCGUGGAGUGUCUUUUUAUGUUAUAAUUUCGAUACUCAAAGAAAUAUAGAACGACUCAAAAGUUUAUUUCAUCUUUAAUUUUUAAAUUUUAUGAGUAAUAAAAAAGAUCUUAAAAGCUUUCAAAAACAAAAUCUAAAAAAAUAGUUUAGAACAUAUCUAUUUUACUUCCAUUAGAAUCAUUACAAAAAUAAACAAAGAAAUAAAUAAGAACACUAUUGUUUUCAAAUAUAAUAUUUAAAAUGACUGCACAUUGAAAGUUGAGAUGACGGAUUGUCAGAUAAUAGAUAUGAACUUUGAAUUUCAAGAAACUUUUUUUCUUUUUUAAAUCAACCAAUGAAUGUAAUAAUUUUCUUUGUAAAGAAAGGGGCAAGAAAAUUUUCUAUCUAUUGAUUUUUUAUAUUAUAAGUUUUAAUAGAAAUUAAAAGGAAUAUUAAAAGUCAAAGAAUUCAACUUUAAAUGAUCAAGUUUUUUUUUUUAAGGAAACUGAAAAUGUAAAGAAUUUAGUUUUUUUAGAAAGACUAAUAAUGAAUGAAUUAAUGGUUAAAUAGUAUUAGUAAUUAUAUCUUUUUAACAUUAAGAUUACCAAAUAUUGAUUUUCUAAAAAAAAUCCUUAAUUGUAGUAUAGUUGUUAAUUAUAAAAGGUGUCUAAUAGGCUUUUCUACAAUCCAUAAUUCUAAAAAAGAUCUUUAUUAAUUAGAGAAAUAUUGAGAAAAUUACUCAAAAAAAAUAAAAACCUAAAAAAAUAUGGGGCCUUAAGCGACUGCCUUAUUUACCUAUACUUAAAGUCACUCCUUCCUAUCACAAAGAUAAAGGAUUUGGUGAUCAAGUGGUUAUCAAAUAAUUUCUUUUAUAGAAUUAGAAUGUGAUAAGUAAAUAAAUUAAAAGAAUAAUAUGAUAACUUAAUAUAUGAUGUAAAAGUACCAAAAUGAAGAUUAUUAAAUAAUAUGUAAAAAAAUUGUAAGUUCUCACAACAUUCUUUGUCCCCCCCCCCCCCCCCAAAAAAAACUAUUUUUGCACAAGAUUAUACUAUCAAUCAAAAUAAAAUUUUCAAAAAAGAAAACAUUCAUAAAAAGCAGUGUUAUACUAUAAAUAUGAAUAAAUUCGAAACAAGCAAAUAUCUGACCCAUUAAUUUGCAAUUACUUUACAGUCUAAUUAAGCAAUAUGAAAGGAAAAAAAAAAAAAUUAACUUCGGCAACAAUACUGAAGUUGUUAAUCCACUUUGACCCUGUUUGGUUUGGCAGAUCCUUUUUUGAGUGUCUAGUUCUCCAAUUAGCAUAUUACGUUUUUAAGUUGGCCAAAGUCAUUCAAUUACAAAUAAUGGGAUCAUGCUACGGUGCAACUGUAGCACUGUGCCACAGUUGCAUCUAACCGUUGGAUGCAGUUGGAUUGGUGAGAUCUAUUGAUAUCCAACGGCUAGAUACAACUGUGGCACGAUGCCACAGUUGCACCUAAGGUUCCCCAAAUAAUGAUGGUUACGUACCUUUAUUUAUGGCUAAUCUUUUCGGGAAAAGUGAGAUGUAUAUAUAGCAAUCUCUUUUUAUACAAUUGGUGAUCAUUGUUUAUUUUGUGUUCCUAUUUAAUGAUUGGCAACGAUGGACCUAUAUGUUCCCUCUAAUGAAAAGAAAAAGAAAAAAUAAAAAUGGAGUGCCAAAUUUGGAGCUUGUAUCCUUUUGAUUAUUUAAGUUUGGGGGCAAAAACUUUAGUUAGAUCGUAACAUAUUUAAAAUACAACUGAAAAAUGGAUCUAAAACGACUUACCCGUUGUAAGAUGUUCAGUUAUAAACUUGAAACUUUGAUCAAAAAAAUUGAAAUCUCUUGCGAAGUAUUUAGAAAUCUCUAAUUAC